AUCGCUUCUCGGCCUUUUGGCUAAGAUCAAGUGUAAAAUUAUAAGAUUAUAUCUUUUAUUAUCAUAGUAUAGAUUUUUUUUCAUGAAAGGUCUAUGAUAUAUGAUAGAUAUU
RNAcentral lists this small nuclear RNA (112 nucleotides) under Fukomys damarensis (Damara mole-rat). RNAcentral's name for it is "U2 spliceosomal RNA". It matches the Rfam family "U2 spliceosomal RNA". Rfam says of the family: U2 is a small nuclear RNA (snRNA) component of the spliceosome (involved in pre-mRNA splicing). Complementary binding between U2 snRNA (in an area lying towards the 5' end but 3' to hairpin I) and the branchpoint sequence (BPS) of the intron results the bulging out of an unpaired adenosine, on the BPS, which initiates a nucleophilic attack at the intronic 5' splice site, thus starting the first of two transesterification reactions that mediate splicing. The record is from Rfam by way of RNAcentral. Lineage: Eukaryota; Metazoa; Chordata; Mammalia; Rodentia; Bathyergidae.